This 71-nucleotide transfer RNA is filed under the name Ruminococcus sp. AM36-2AA. RNAcentral's name for it is "tRNA-Gln". It matches the Rfam family "tRNA". Rfam says of the family: Transfer RNA (tRNA) molecules are approximately 80 nucleotides in length. Their secondary structure includes four short double-helical elements and three loops (D, anti-codon, and T loops). The record is from RNAcentral. Lineage: Bacteria; Bacillati; Bacillota; Clostridia; Eubacteriales; Oscillospiraceae. RNAcentral also lists the same sequence under 1 other name.
AGCCUUGUGGUGUAAUGGCAGCACACGAUACUUUGAUUAUCGUGGAGAAGGUUCGAAUCCUUCCAUGGCCG